CUCGCACCGUAAGCUCGCAGUUUUCUCAAAAACUGCUAUUUUAUAUUCGCUAAUUUCACAACAAAUUUUUUCAUUGUUCAACGACACGAAUGGAUGAAGACACACGAUUGCAUAACUCAAAAUGACUAAUUUCUAUGAACCAGUCUCUACAUUGAACAAGAGACCGGUUUUCCUCGAAUUAUUUUGAAUUAUGUAAUUUUAAGCGUGUUGGACGUAAACAACAUAUCCUGCCUUCAACUUUGGGAAAGUACCGAUAUCGCUUUGUAAAAUCCUCAGUUCUGGCUGUAUCUCUAUAAUAUCACAGGGACGUCAAUGUUAAGUCGUUGGGCUAUAUCUCUGGGAUGAGAAAUAAUUCCUUACAUGCGAUCAAAAUGUUUUAUACAACGAUGUAAAACGAUAAUCUUAUGGAAUGGGUCAGCAUUUCCAUUUCCAACACAGUUUCUGAGAUGUAAUUCAAGAGGGGUAACUUAUCAUUGCAGUUGAACUAUUAUAUCAGUUGGUGUUAUUCUGUGCGAGCGAUAAGCGAUUAUUAUUGGAAAGAUGGCUGACAUAUACGUUGAAAUCACCAAAUAAACAGGUUACGCACACAUUUCUCCACUUUGUCGUAAGUUUACAGAGCCGGUUUUAUACCUUGGCACUGGUCUUUGACUUUGAUAUGAACAUUUAUUCCCCUAGUUUAAGGUUAUUUAAGAUUCAUCCUGUCGUAAGUCUUCUACUAGCAACCAAUCGACAAUAUUUCACUUUAGCAUUGUCUUUGCCGUUACGUUGGCUUCGCAUUACUUUUGUUUUAAAUACCUUGAUCGCUUUAAAAUAGUCAUUUUUCAGGCCAGUGAGAUAGCCAAAAUACUUAACAUUAACGUCCUUGUGAUUUUACAGAGAUAUCGCAAGAACUGAUGAUUUUAGAAGGCGUUAUCUGCACCUUCUCAAAGUUCUGGACAAAAUAUGUUGUUUGCGUGCAACACGCACAUGAUUGCAUAACUCAAACUAAUCCGGGCAAAACCGGUCUUUUGUUAAAAGGAAGAUCGGUUAAUAGAAAUUGGUCGUUUUGGGUGAUAUAAUCGUGUAGCGUCACAUCGAUCCGUUUGUUUGAACAAUGAAAAAAUUUGUUGUGAAAUUAGCGAAGAUAAAAUAGCAUUUUGUGAGAAAACUGCGGGUAUACGGCGCGGAAAGUUUUCGGAUUCGAAUUCAGCGUGCUUGAAUGUGUUAUUUUCCGUAAAAAUAUUUCAGUUCCAAGACAUGCUUAAUGAAAGUGAGCGAUAUCAGGACGCAGCAUACGGCCUACUCCUUUCCACGUGUUUAGCUUCUAAAUACAAUAGCUGCUAAUGAUAUUCUUUUACCAGAAUUCCGCCAAUAUGGCCGCCAUGACGUCAAAUCAAACGAGGUAUAAUCAUUAGGUAGAUUGAAGCAAACAAACCUGUAA
Non-coding RNA from Paramuricea clavata, 1420 nucleotides. Lineage: Eukaryota; Metazoa; Cnidaria; Anthozoa; Malacalcyonacea; Plexauridae. The record is from the annotation of a GenBank genome assembly.